RNAcentral lists this ribosomal RNA (440 nucleotides) under uncultured bacterium. Its description in RNAcentral is "partial 16S ribosomal RNA". It matches the Rfam family "Bacterial small subunit ribosomal RNA", at positions 338 to 795 of the family's 1533-position model. The record is from RNAcentral.
CCUACGGGAGGCAGCAGUGGGGGAUAUUGCACAAUGGGGGAAACCCUGAUGCAGCGACGCCGCGUGUGGGAAGACGGUCCUCUGGAUUGUAAACCACUGUCCCCAGGGACGAAGAUGACGGUACCUGGGGAGGAAGCUCCGGCUAACUACGUGCCAGCAGCCGCGGUAAUACGUAGGGAGCGAGCGUUGUCCGGAAUUACUGGGUGUAAAGGGAGCGUAGGCGGGACUGCAAGUUGGGUGUCAAAUCUACCGGCUCAACCGGUAGCCGCGCUCAAAACUGCAGUUCUUGAGUGAAGUAGAGGCAGGCGGAAUUCCUAGUGUAGCGGUGAAAGGCGUAGAUAUUAGGAGGAACACCAGUGGCGAAGGCGGCCUGCUGGGCUUUUACUGACGCUGAGGCUCGAAAGUGUGGGGAGCAAACAGGAUUAGAUACCCUUGUAGUC